RNAcentral lists this ribosomal RNA (253 nucleotides) under uncultured bacterium. RNAcentral's name for it is "partial 16S ribosomal RNA". It matches the Rfam family "Bacterial small subunit ribosomal RNA", at positions 524 to 776 of the family's 1533-position model. The record is from RNAcentral.
UACGGGGGGGGCAAGCGUUGUUCGGAAUUACUGGGCGUGAAGGGCUCGUAGGCGGCCAACUAAGUCAGACGUGAAAUCCCUAGGCUCAACCUAGGAACUGCGUCUGAUACUGGAUGGCUUGAAUCCGGGAGAGGGAUGCAGAAUUCCAGGUGUAGCGGUGAAAUGCGUAGAGAUCUGGAGGAAUACCGAUGGCGAAGGCAGCCAUCUGGCCUAACACUGACGCUGAGGUGCGAAAGCAUGGGGAGCAAACAGG